Molecule: ribosomal RNA, 373 nt
Filed under: uncultured organism
Description: partial 16S ribosomal RNA
Rfam family: Bacterial small subunit ribosomal RNA
Source: RNAcentral
GUAGGUGGCAAGCGUUGUCCGGAAUUAUUGGGCGUAAAGCGCGCGCAGGCGGCCCUUUAAGUCUGAUGUGAAAGCCCACGGCUCAACCGUGGAGGGUCAUUGGAAACUGGGGGACUUGAGUACAGAAGAGGAAAGCGGAAUUCCAAGUGUAGCGGUGAAAUGCGUAGAGAUUUGGAGGAACACCAGUGGCGAAGGCGGCUUUCUGGUCUGUAACUGACGCUGAGGCGCGAAAGCGUGGGGAGCAAACAGGAUUAGAUACCCUGGUAGUCCACGCCGUAAACGAUGAGUGCUAAGUGUUAGGGGGUUUCCCGCCCCCUUAGUGCUGCAGCUAACGCAUUAAGCACUCCGCCUGGGGAGUACGGCCGCAAGGCUG